RNAcentral lists this ribosomal RNA (264 nucleotides) under uncultured bacterium. RNAcentral describes it as "partial 16S ribosomal RNA". It matches the Rfam family "Bacterial small subunit ribosomal RNA", at positions 793 to 1055 of the family's 1533-position model. The record is from RNAcentral.
GUCCACGCUGUAAACGAUGCGUGCUAGACGUUGGCAGGCCUAGCCUGUCGGUGUCGCAGCUAACGCGUUAAGCACGCCGCCUGGGAGUACGGCCGCAAGGUUAAACUCAAAGGAAUUGACGGGGCCCGCACAAGCGGUGGAGCAUGUGGUUUAAUUCGAUGCAACGCGCAGAACCUUACCAGGCCUUGACAUGGGGAGUAUGGGGUUGUGAAAGCAGCUCCUUCAGUUCGGCUGGCUCCCACACAGGUGCUGCAUGGCUGUCGU